GAUGAACGCUGGUGGCGUGCCUAAUACAUGCAAGUCGAGCGAACGGACGAGGAGCUUGCUUCUCUGAUGUUGGCGGCGGACGGGUGAGUAACACGUGGAUAACCUACCUAUAAGACUGGGAUAACUUCGGGAAACCGUAGCUAAUACCGGAUAAUAUUUUGAACCGCAUGGUUCAAAAGUGAAAGACGGUCUUCUGUCACUUAUAGAUGGAUCCGCGCUGCAUUAGCUAGUUGGUAAGGUAACGGCUUACCAAGGCAACGAUGCAUAGCCGACCUGAGAGGGUGAUCGGCCACACUGGAACUGAGACACGGUCCAGACUCCUACGGGAGGCAGCAGUAGGGAAUCUUCCGCAAUGGGCGAAAGCCUGACGGAGCAACGCCGCGUGAGUGAUGAAGGUCUUCGGAUCGUAAAACUCUGUUAUUAGGGAAGAACAUAUGUGUAAGUAACUGUGCACAUCUUGACGGUACCUAAUCAGAAAGCCACGGCUAACUACGUG
This 496-nucleotide ribosomal RNA is filed under the name uncultured bacterium. Its description in RNAcentral is "partial 16S ribosomal RNA". It matches the Rfam family "Bacterial small subunit ribosomal RNA", at positions 28 to 507 of the family's 1533-position model. The record is from RNAcentral.